UUUAACGGCCGCGGUAUUCUGACCGUGCAAAGGUAGCGUAAUCAUUUGUCUUUUAAAUAAAGACCUGUAUGAAUGGCAUCACGAGGGCUCGACUGUCUCCUAUCCCUAAUCAGUGAAAUUGAUCUGUCCGUGCAGAAGCGGGCAUAAAGACAUAAGACGAGAAGACCCUAUGGAGCUUAAGAUAUAAGAUCACACGUACUUAAUAGCUAAUGCCCGACAGGAGUAAAAGCUAGUUUAUAAUGCGUUGGUUGAUUGGAUUGUCUUCGGUUGGGGCGACCGCGGAGGAGAAAAAAGCCUCCAUGUGGAGUGGGGUAAUAUUCCCUAAAGCUGAGAGCUACAGCUCUAAGAAGCAGAAUAUCUGACCAGAAAUGAUCCAGGCCAAGGCCUGAUCAACGAACCAAGUUACCCUAGGGAUAACAGCGCAAUCCUUUCUCAGAGUUCAUAUCGACGAAAGGGUUUACGACCUC
This 467-nucleotide ribosomal RNA is filed under the name Albula glossodonta (roundjaw bonefish). Its description in RNAcentral is "partial large subunit ribosomal RNA". It matches the Rfam family "Bacterial large subunit ribosomal RNA", at positions 1923 to 2527 of the family's 2925-position model. The record is from RNAcentral. Lineage: Eukaryota; Metazoa; Chordata; Actinopteri; Albuliformes; Albulidae.